RNAcentral lists this ribosomal RNA (253 nucleotides) under uncultured bacterium. RNAcentral's name for it is "partial 16S ribosomal RNA". It matches the Rfam family "Bacterial small subunit ribosomal RNA", at positions 524 to 776 of the family's 1533-position model. The record is from RNAcentral.
UACGGAGGGUGCAAGCGUUGCUCGGAAUUAUUGGGCGUAAAGGGUAGGUAGGUGGUCUCAUUUGUCUGGGGUGAAAGCCUUGAGCUUAACUCAAGAAGUGCCCUAGAAACGGUGAGACUGGAGUCCUGGAGAGGGUCGUGGAAUUCCCGGUGUAGCGGUGAAAUGCGUAGAGAUCGGGAGGAACACCAGAGGCGAAGGCGGCGACCUGGACAGGUACUGACACUCAACUACGAAAGCGUGGGGAGCAAACAGG